UGCCACCAAUUCGCCCAACCACAAACACAAAUUUACUAAUACAAUAUUAAACAAAACAUUUUAUACAAGAAGUAAAGGAGAUUAAACCUUACCAUUGGCGCGAUAGCAAAUCGUACCGCAAGGGAUUAAUGAAAGAAAAAUGACAAUUAAAGCAUAACAAAGCAGUGAUAUACCCACGUACCUCUUGCCUCAUGGCCUAGCAAGUCCAAGGCACGUAAAAUGAUUUUUAAUUUGCUCCCCCGAAAAAUCGCGAGCUAUUUUAAAGCUGCAUUAUGUGCUAACCCGUCUCUGUAGCAAAAGAGUGGGGUGACUUUAAAAUAGAGGUGAAACGCCUAUCGAGCGAUUAGAUAGCUGGUUGCUCAAUAACCGAAUAUUAGUUCGCCCUUGGGCCUAUCCUGACACUACAUAGUCCUACCAAUGCCCAAGAAUUACCCACUCGGGGUUCAGCUCGAGUGGGCCUGGAUACAACCUUAGCCGAGAAAAAGACCCAUAAAAUCCCCAUGUAAGCCUUAAAGCCGCUAUCAUAAAAUCACCGCGUCAAAGCGAUAACUUACUAAAUCCAAACCAUAGACUCUAUUUCCGGAAAGUAAACUGAGCUAAUCCAUAUGAUUAUGGAAGAAAUUAUGCUAAGACUAGUAAAAUCGGCCCACACGCCUCUUCUGCACACCUGUAACCAAAAUUAUUAGACCAAAAACGGCCAAAUAACUAUACACCAAGCAUAACUAUUCAACAAACUAUUAACCCAACACCGGAGUGCAUAAAAGACAGAUAACAUGUUAUGAAAGGAACUCGACAACCUUCAAUCCCAACUGUUUACCAAAAACAUAGCCUUUAGCCCAUCCCAAUAUUAAAGGUCUCGCCUGCCCAGUGACUUCGUUUAACGGCCGCGGUAUCCUAACCGUGCAAAGGUAGCGUAAUCAUUUGUUCUAUAAAUAAGGACUAGUAUGAAUGGCACCAUGAGAAUUGACUUGUCUCUCAUAACAAAUCUAUGAAACUGAUCUCCCAGUUCAAAAGCUGGAAUAAACAUACAAGACGAGAAGACCCUGUGGAGCUUUAGCCAACCGUCACACCCACUGACGACUCGUGCUUUAGUUGGGGCGACUUUGGAGACAAACAAAACCUCCAAACAUACUUACCCGAGGCCGACACGCCAAAAAUAAUCCAAUUGACCCAAUAAACUUGAUUAAUGAACCAAGUUACCCCAGGGAUAACAGCGCAAUCUUCUUUUAGAGUCCCUAUCGACAAGAAGGUUUACGACCUCGAUGUUGGAUCAGGAUAUCCAAAUAGUGCAGCCGCUAUUAAGGGUUCGUUUGUUCAACGAUUAAAAUCCUACGUGAUCUGAGUUCAGACCGGAGCAAUCCAGGUCGGUUUCUAUCUGUAACCGUUGCUUCCUCAGUACGAAAGGACCAGAAAGCAGGGGCCACUAAUACAGUUACGCCCCAUAACGACAGCUGACUACUACUAAAGCUGCCAUACGAACAAAUAGUAUUAGACUAAUAUU
Molecule: ribosomal RNA, 1501 nt
Filed under: Diplometopon zarudnyi
Lineage: Eukaryota; Metazoa; Chordata; Lepidosauria; Squamata; Trogonophidae
Description: large subunit ribosomal RNA
Rfam family: Bacterial large subunit ribosomal RNA
Source: RNAcentral